GACGAACGCUGGCGGCGUGCUUAACACAUGCAAGUCGAACGGAAAGGCCCUGCUUUUGUGGUGUGCUCGAGUGGCGAACGUGUGAGUAACACGUGAGUAACCUGCCCUUGACUUUGGGAUAACUUCAGGAAACUGGGGCUAAUACCGCAUAGGAGCUCCUGCUCCAUUGUGGGGGUUGGAAAGUUUCGGCGGUUGGGGAUUGACUCGCGGCCUAUCAGCUUGUUGGUGGGGUAGUGGCUUACCAAGGCUUUGACGGGUAGCCGGCCUGAGAGGGUGACCGGCCACAUUGGGACUGAGAUACGGCCCAGACUCCUACGGGAGGCAGCAGUGGGGAAUAUUGCACAAUGGGCGGAAGCCUGAUGCAGCAACGCCGCGUGCGGGAUGACGGCCUUCGGGUUGUAAACCGCUUUCGCCUGUGACGAAGCGUGAGUGACGGUAAUGGGUAAAGAAGCACCGGCUAACUACGUG
Molecule: ribosomal RNA, 468 nt
Filed under: uncultured bacterium
Lineage: Bacteria
Description: partial 16S ribosomal RNA
Rfam family: Bacterial small subunit ribosomal RNA
Source: RNAcentral